Molecule: ribosomal RNA, 484 nt
Filed under: uncultured bacterium
Lineage: Bacteria
Description: partial 16S ribosomal RNA
Rfam family: Bacterial small subunit ribosomal RNA
Source: RNAcentral
AUUGAACGCUGGCGGCAGGCCUAACACAUGCAAGUCGAGCGGAUGAAGGGAGCUUGCUCCUGGAUUCAGCGGCGGACGGGUGAGUAAUGCCUAGGAAUCUGCCUGGUAGUGGGGGAUAACGUCCGGAAACGGGCGCUAAUACCGCAUACGUCCUGAGGGAGAAAGUGGGGGAUCUUCGGACCUCACGCUAUCAGAUGAGCCUAGGUCGGAUUAGCUAGUUGGUGGGGUAAAGGCCUACCAAGGCGACGAUCCGUAACUGGUCUGAGAGGAUGAUCAGUCACACUGGAACUGAGACACGGUCCAGACUCCUACGGGAGGCAGCAGUGGGGAAUAGUGGACAAUGGGCGAAAGCCUGAUCCAGCCAUGCCGCGUGUGUGAAGAAGGUCUUCGGAUUGUAAAGCACUUUAAGUUGUGAGGAAGGGCAGUAAGUUAAUACCUUGCUGUUUUGACGUUACCAACAGAAUAAGCACCGGCUAACUUCGUG